RNAcentral lists this long non-coding RNA (389 nucleotides) under Lupinus angustifolius (narrow-leaved blue lupine). RNAcentral describes it as "long non-coding RNA (LANG_LNC003743)". Lineage: Eukaryota; Viridiplantae; Streptophyta; Magnoliopsida; Fabales; Fabaceae. The record is from RNAcentral.
ACACGUCCCACGAAUUAUCUAUGCCCAUAGAAUCUUUUCUUGGCCAUCCCUUUGAUCUUGAAUAAACCAUGGCCAACCCAUACAGCUACCUUGCUUUUGAAUAACUCCAAAGGAAUCUGCAACUCCAUUAUGCACAUUCCAUCCACAUCUCCAUUUUUUGGUGUUUGUUGUGCUUUAUUUAUGUUUCAAUCUUUUCUUAUAUUAGAAAAUUCAGCCCAGAUUUUCAUUGACCUUACUUAUAUGUCUCCUCAGAUGAACCUUUUUUGAAUCAGGAGACUGUAAUGAGGUUUCACAUUGCUAUCUUAUAUUGGUUUUGGAUACAGUGAUGUUGUGACAAUGAAAAGCUUGACUUGGUACUUAAAUUUAUUACAGAAUAUGUAUAUGAAGAA